UACAGAGGUCUCAAGCGUUGUUCGGAUUCAUUGGGCGUAAAGGGUGUGUAGGUGGCGCCGUAAGUCGGGUGUGAAAUUUCGGAGCUUAACUCCGAAACUGCAUUCGAUACUGCGGUGCUUGAGGACUGGAGAGGAGACUGGAAUUCAUGGUGUAGCAGUGAAAUGCGUAGAUAUCUGGAGGAACACCGGUGGCGAAGGCGGCAUCCUGGACCAAUAUUGACGCUGAGGAGCGAAAGCCAGGGGAGCAAACGGG
This 253-nucleotide ribosomal RNA is filed under the name uncultured bacterium. RNAcentral describes it as "partial 16S ribosomal RNA". It matches the Rfam family "Bacterial small subunit ribosomal RNA", at positions 524 to 776 of the family's 1533-position model. The record is from RNAcentral.